This 465-nucleotide ribosomal RNA is filed under the name Vreelandella stevensii. RNAcentral's name for it is "partial 16S ribosomal RNA". It matches the Rfam family "Bacterial small subunit ribosomal RNA", at positions 338 to 795 of the family's 1533-position model. The record is from RNAcentral. Lineage: Bacteria; Pseudomonadati; Pseudomonadota; Gammaproteobacteria; Oceanospirillales; Halomonadaceae.
CCUACGGGUGGCAGCAGUGGGGAAUAUUGGACAAUGGGGGGAACCCUGAUCCAGCCAUGCCGCGUGUGUGAAGAAGGCCCUCGGGUUGUAAAGCACUUUCAGUGAGGAAGAACGCCUGGUGGUUAAUACCCAUCAGGAAAGACAUCACUCACAGAAGAAGCGCCGGCUAACUCCGUGCCAGCAGCCGCGGUAAUACGGAGGGUGCGAGCGUUAAUCGGAAUUACUGGGCGUAAAGCGCGCGUAGGUGGCUUGAUAAGCCGGUUGUGAAAGCCCCGGGCUCAACCUGGGAACGGCAUCCGGAACUGUCAAGCUAGAGUGCAGGAGAGGAAGGUAGAAUUCCCGGUGUAGCGGUGAAAUGCGUAGAGAUCGGGAGGAAUACCAGUGGCGAAGGCGGCCUUCUGGACUGACACUGACGCUGAGGUGCGAAAGCGUGGGUAGCAAACAGGAUUAGAUACCCGAGUAGUC